Molecule: ribosomal RNA, 485 nt
Filed under: uncultured bacterium
Lineage: Bacteria
Description: bacterial SSU rRNA
Rfam family: Bacterial small subunit ribosomal RNA
Source: RNAcentral
UAGUCCACGCCGUAAACGAUGAUCACUCGAUGUUGGCGAUACACUGUCAGCGUCCAAGCGAAAGCGUUAAGUGAUCCACCUGGGGAGUACGAUCGCAAGGUUGAAACUCAAAGGAAUUGACGGGGGGCCCGCACAAGCGGAGGAGCAUGUGGUUUAAUUCGAUGAUACGCGAGGAACCUUACCUAGACUUAAAUGUAGAUUGCAUAGAGUAGAAAUAUUCUUUUCCUUCGGGACUAUUUACAAGGUGCUGCAUGGUUGUCGUCAGCUCGUGCCGUGAGGUGUCGGGUUAAGUCCCAUAACGAGCGCAACCCCUAUCCUUAGUUGCCAUCAGAUAAUGCUGGGGACUCUAAGGAAACUGCCGGCGCAAGCCGUGAGGAAGGUGGGGAUGACGUCAAAUCAGCACGGCCCUUACGUCUAGGGGCUACACACGUGCUACAAUGGUCGAUACAGUGGGGCAGCUACCUGGUGACAGGGAUGGCUAAUCU